RNAcentral lists this ribosomal RNA (975 nucleotides) under Staphylococcus aureus. RNAcentral's name for it is "partial 23S ribosomal RNA". It matches the Rfam family "Bacterial large subunit ribosomal RNA", at positions 585 to 1561 of the family's 2925-position model. Lineage: Bacteria; Bacillati; Bacillota; Bacilli; Caryophanales; Staphylococcaceae. The record is from RNAcentral.
GUUAAUGGGUGAUGGCGUGCCUUUUGUAGAAUGAACCGGCGAGUUACGAUUUGAUGCAAGGUUAAGCAGUAAAUGUGGAGCCGUAGCGAAAGCGAGUCUGAAUAGGGCGUUUAGUAUUUGGUCGUAGACCCGAAACCAGGUGAUCUACCCUUGGUCAGGUUGAAGUUCAGGUAACACUGAAUGGAGGACCGAACCGACUUACGUUGAAAAGUGAGCGGAUGAACUGAGGGUAGCGGAGAAAUUCCAAUCGAACCUGGAGAUAGCUGGUUCUCUCCGAAAUAGCUUUAGGGCUAGCCUCAAGUGAUGAUUAUUGGAGGUAGAGCACUGUUUGGACGAGGGGCCCCUCUCGGGUUACCGAAUUCAGACAAACUCCGAAUGCCAAUUAAUUUAACUUGGGAGUCAGAACAUGGGUGAUAAGGUCCGUGUUCGAAAGGGAAACAGCCCAGACCACCAGCUAAGGUCCCAAAAUAUAUGUUAAGUGGAAAAGGAUGUGGCGUUGCCCAGACAACUAGGAUGUUGGCUUAGAAGCAGCCAUCAUUUAAAGAGUGCGUAAUAGCUCACUAGUCGAGUGACACUGCGCCGAAAAUGUACCGGGGCUAAACAUAUUACCGAAGCUGUGGAUUGUCCUUUGGACAAUGGUAGGAGAGCGUUCUAAGGGCGUUGAAGCAUGAUCGUAAGGACAUGUGGAGCGCUUAGAAGUGAGAAUGCCGGUGUGAGUAGCGAAAGACGGGUGAGAAUCCCGUCCACCGAUUGACUAAGGUUUCCAGAGGAAGGCUCGUCCGCUCUGGGUUAGUCGGGUCCUAAGCUGAGGCCGACAGGCGUAGGCGAUGGAUAACAGGUUGAUAUUCCUGUACCACCUAUAAUCGUUUUAAUCGAUGGGGGGACGCAGUAGGAUAGGCGAAGCGUGCGAUUGGAUUGCACGUCUAAGCAGUAAGGCUGAGUAUUAGGCAAAUCCGGUACUCGUUAAGGCUGAGC